CCUUGGAUAGUAAUGAUACCAACUAAAGGUGCCCAACGAGCUGGGUGGCACGUGACAUAGCACAGGCACGGCACAAGCACAUUUCGACAAAGCACGCGGCACGACACGGCACUCACGUGGACUGGGUUGAGCUCAGAUUUUUAGGCAUGUGAACGUUAAAAGCACGACACAAUUAGCGGUGGGCCAUCGUACGGCACGAAAAAAGACACGUAAUAAGCACACUUAAUUGAUGGGUUAGCACGCAACCCGUGUGCCAUCAAUAGCACGUGGGUCAAAGUAUAUCAAAGUAAUUUUUUUAAUAAAAAGUAAAAAAUAAGAAUAUUAUGAUUUUACACAUAUAUUUAAAAUUUAAAAUUUAAAUAUAUUUUAUUAAAUUAAUUUAAGUCUUAGUUUUAAAAAAUUCUAAUUGUUUUAUGUUUAUCAUUUAUUAAAUGAAUAAAUAAAUAUCAUAAUUUUAAUAAAUAAAAUUAUAAAUAUCACGAUUUUAUAAAUGAUAUAUCAAAAUUUUAUGACAAUUAAUAUUUCAUUUAUGAAAUCGUAACUUAGUUAAUGGACAUAUGUUUCAUUUGUUAUUUGUGAAUAAAAUAUUUUUCAUAUUUAUACACAAAAAAAUUAUGAACGAAAUAUUUUUUUAUUUUUUAUGAUAAAUUAAAAGUUUCAUUUUCAUUCAAUGGGGUUCAAGUCCAAUUAUAAUAUUAAUAGUUCAAAUAAAAUUAGGUGUAAUUUACUUCAUUGAAGUACAAAUAAUAUUGUUAUGUUAUAAUUGAAUUGGUAAUUGUGAAAUUAAAUAUUUAAAUAUAUAAGUUACGGAAUUGUGAUAAAUUGAUAAUAAAAUGUUAAAUUUUCUUUUAAUAAUUAAUAAAAAUUAUUAUAAUUAUUAUUGUUGUUGUUGUUAUUAUUAGAUGGGCUGAUGGGCUUGGAAAACGCACGUGGGCUUAAACAAACCAUGCCAGGCACGUGGACUUAAAAUUUGAUGGGCCUUUUUUGGGCGGUUGGGCUUAACAAAAACAAUUAGGCACGCCCCACCGUGCCAGCCCGUGGGCCUUUACGGGCCUGGGAUUGAUGGGCCGUGAGGCCUUUAAUACCAAAUAGGAGUCACUUCUCAAGUGUUGUGGAGUAGGGUGUUUAUAAAUUACUAGUUGUUUUGGGUUUGUUUAGUUUGUUUUAAGGAUAAUUUAUCGACCAUGGUUGUAAGUGAUCAUUACAGUAAUAAAUUUUGUUACAUACUUAAUCUUAAUAAUGAUUUUAUGAAAAUGACUAAAGAGGUAAAUUUCUCAAUAAUCAUUUCCAUGAUAAUAAUUCAUAUUGUCAAGGAUUUAAUGUAUGCAACAAUAAAAUAAAAUUGUAGAGAUACAAAUUGAAUCGCCAAGAAUGUUUUCUUAAUAUAUUUAUUUUGGUUUAAUUUAAAUUUAAAUUGCAUGUUAUCCUUUUAAUUAAUCAGCUAAUUAUUUUGAGUGAACUUAGGGAUUGUAGGGUCUAAUUUCACUCCUAUUCUUCUAGCACAAAAAUAACUUAUUAUCUCUUUGAAAAAAAAAAAAAAUCGCUACAUGAAAGACCAGGUUUACAAAUUACACUAGAAAGUAAUAAACAGAAACGAAUUUUUUAACAUUUGCGAUAUUAAAAUUCCAAUUAAAUAAUGUAUUAAAAAAAACUAUUUGUAUUCAUAAAAAAAAGUACGAUAAUUUGUAUUUAAAUAAAAUCAAAUUUGGAUCGGGUUCACAAGGGUCCCGGUCCGGAAGCGAGGAGAUGGAGAAGGAUGGAUAUGUCGAUAGAACCUUCAGAGCUGAGCGCAUCAUCACAAGGCCCGAAAAAGGGAGAAGAAAUUGGAGGGAAUUGCAAAGAGAGGUGUGAAGAGAAAAAGAAGACAAUAAAUACGAGCAGCGAAGCAAAAAUUGUAGUGUUUCAGAUUGAAAACUAUAUUACUUGAUUAAAAGGACAUCAUGAUCCCCUCAGGUUUUCGUAUCCACAUGUUAUUCGCCGCUUCCAGUAUUCAUACGGCCUUCUUUCUCUUUCCUCUCUCCGUAAAACCCUCAAUCCCCCAUUCACGGUUCCUGCAGAUUGAAGGUUUAUCUGAUUAUAAACAACAAAUUUUUUUGGAUCUUCAAUUUGCCCCUGCUAGUUUUCUAGUAUUGCAAUUUGACCCCAUCCCUUUUGCUAUUUUACUACUAUCCAAGAAAUAAAUUGGGGUUGGUAAAAAAGCCCUCGCCAGUUCGGCCCAAGUCCACAUGGAUUGAACUUGUAUAUAUGUGGAUUGAAAAACAUAAAGAUUGUAUAGAUUAAAAUUUGAAUUUAUAAAUAAAAAAACAUAAAUUAAAUUAAAAAAG
Molecule: long non-coding RNA, 2324 nt
Filed under: Citrus sinensis (sweet orange)
Lineage: Eukaryota; Viridiplantae; Streptophyta; Magnoliopsida; Sapindales; Rutaceae
Description: long non-coding RNA (CSIN_LNC003020)
Source: RNAcentral